This is a long non-coding RNA of Brassica napus (rape), 2345 nucleotides long. RefSeq lists it as uncharacterized. The transcript has 2 exons. The record is from RefSeq and is a predicted model, not a curated record. NCBI's taxonomy places the organism in Eukaryota, Viridiplantae, Streptophyta, Magnoliopsida, Brassicales, Brassicaceae.
UUAAAGUUUUUGGUAUCACACUACGGUUAUUAGAAGAAGAAAAAAGGGAUAAAAGCAACCGAAAUAUUAGAAGAUCGGAUAAUGUAUAUCCCACACCACGGUUAUCAGAAGAAAGAAGGAUAAAAGCAACCGAAAUAUUAGAUGAACGGAUAAUGUGUUGAAUAUAACGUCAGGCGUUGAGUACUUUACAUUUCAUUUAUCAAAAAAGAGUGAAGCAAGAAAACAAAUAUAGUAGGUUUUAGUGACAAGAAAAUAGGCGUUGGGAUGUGAAAGGAGUCAUUGACCCACAAGCCACAUCAGUUUUAUGACACCCACAUGUGAUGUCUGAUGAGGCCACAGAGAGAUAAGGUUUUUGUUUGUUUGGGUUUGGCCAUUUUCACAACCAAAUGUCAAAUCCUUUUAACGUUACGAUUUUUUAUUUCUGGACGAGUUACGUUAAGGUUUUAUCCUUACAAGUUAAACAAACUCUUCCGCAUGUAUAUACGAUGACCUAACCGCAGCCCCUAGUGGCAAACGAACAUACCCAAAUUCUAAGUUCCAAUCUCAACGAUUUACACUAAACGUAGUCUGCGGUACGUGAGGAGACGUUUCGAGCUCAACGAUCCACCUAAGAGGUUCGAUGCGUUUCACAUAAUGCAUCACUCCAUUUGGCUGCGUAGGCUUAACAUGAGCCCCUGGUGGUAAACGAUUAUAGGGUAUACAAAAAUCACAUAUUGUUAGUUUUUUUAAAUCAUACCACAUAAGUGUAGUAGUUAGUACCUUAACUUCUGGAUAUAAGGGAUGACGUUUAUUUGGUGUCAUCACUAAAUUAAUGAAUGGUGAAUUAUUGCAACUUUCUAAUCUAUAGAGCAACAAUCUAAAAUAAUCUAAACAUUUAAAUUUAUACCAUACCAUAUUACUAACUAUCAAUCAUUUGGUUAGGACGACGAAGUUGGGAUUGUGGUUGUGGUGUAGACAAGGCUGGUUGUUCAUGCGAAGCGAUUCUGUCUUUUGCACUGUCUUCAUUAUUGACCUCGAGGUGGAUCGGUCUCAUCUCUUUCAUCACUGACUCCACAUUAAGAUGUGUAUCAACGAUGUAAAGAUUUUUCUAGUUUAUAUAUGAGUAGAGUUUAACGAAGUAUCCUGGAACUAAAGAAAAAGAAAAAAAAAAAGAGUUUAACGAAGUAGUUUUUUUUUUGUCAACUUAACUAAGUAGCUUAUAUUUGGUUAUUUGGUAAUCCUUUUUUUUUUAUCAUUUUAAAAAGAGGUUCAAUUAGAUGUAUUAUCAUAAUCUCCUUUUAGAUUUAUUUUUAUCAUCUAAUUGUCAACUCAACGAAGGCAUCACAAUCUCCUUGUUAGAGCCACACAUAUACUUGGAUUCAGGUUUAUUAUGGGCUUCCAACUUAAAACCAUUCGGUGAUUAGUGGAUUGACCCUAACCCUUUAUAUAUUAUUUAAUGUUCCUUAGAAUUUUCAGUGUGGGAUAUAUAUCCCUAAUACUCCUCCAAAAGAUGAUGGCUCUUAUCGGCCAGAAAUCUCGGAACUUUAGAACAUUUAUACUCGGUCGAGCGAGUUUAACACAACAUUUAUACCCGGUUGGAAGGGUUAAUCACGACCUUUAUACCCGGUCGGAGAGAUUAAUUUUAAUUAUGAGUUUAGGGUUAUUUAGGAUCUGAGCUCUGAUACCAUGUUAGAUUCGGGUUUAUUAUGAACUUUCAACUUAAAAUCAAUUGGUGAUUAGUUGAUUGACCUUAAACUUUUAUAUAUUACUUAAUGUCCCUUAAAAUUUCUAAUGUUUGGAUAUAUAUCCCUAAUAAUAUUCCGUGGAAGACUGUAGUGGGUUCUCCCAUUAAAUCACUACUCCUUUCGUUAGCUUCUAUUUUAAAUUUUAUUUACUAUGUGAAGAUGUUUACGGUAAAAAAGCUCAGCAACUGUUGGAGAUCUCAAGCUUGCCAUAGAGAUUACCUUCAUCCACGUCUCCAAUAUCUCAUGGACGGUGAUGCGGUUUUAUAGCCAAUCUUCCAUCUCACUUUUCAUGAUACAUGAUAAGAGGUCAAAGCAGGAGUGAGACUCGGUACAAAACAAGAUGCUGUUACUUAAUUGUUUCAGGUAAGGAGGCUCUGUGAAAGGUUUUACACAUUCAAUUUUGUAAUCACAACAAAAUGAUCUGAGGAACAUGUUCUAUUACAAAAGAUAGUAGUAUGUUCAGUGGAAGCUUAUACAAUAAUCAGUAGUACAAGUAGUACAGACAGUGCCUUAAACAAAAAAAAAACAAAGUGGAAAAACAUAGCUUUUGGCAGAACACACAAAAAAACAACUCCUAAGAGAUGUAAUGGCGACUAAGAAGAUACACCGCCACUGCCAAAA